AACGAACGCUGGCGGCGCGUCUUAAGCAUGCAAGUCGAACGGCAAGAGAGGAGCUUGCUUCUCUCCUAGAGUGGCGGACUGGUGAGGAACACGUGGGUAAUCUACCCUUAAGAUGGGGAUAGCUGCUAGAAAUAGCAGGUAAUACCGAAUACACUCGGCAUAUCCCCAGAGGUGUUGAGGAAAGGAAGCUACGGCUUCGCUUGAGGAUGAGCUUGCGUCCCAUUAGCUAGUUGGUGAGGUAAAGGCCCACCAAGGCGACGAUGGGUAUCCGGCCUGAGAGGGUGAACGGACACAUUGGGACUGAGAUACGGCCCAAACUCCUACGGGAGGCAGCAGCUAAGAAUAUUCCGCAAUGGACGGAAGUCUGACGGAGCGGCGCCGCGUGGAUGAAGAAGGCUGAAAAGUUGUAAAAUCCUUUUGUUGAUGAAGAAUAAGGGUGAGAGGGAAUGCUCAUCUGAUGACGGUAAUCGACGAAUAAGCCCCGGCUAAUUACGUG
This 496-nucleotide ribosomal RNA is filed under the name uncultured bacterium. Its description in RNAcentral is "partial 16S ribosomal RNA". It matches the Rfam family "Bacterial small subunit ribosomal RNA", at positions 29 to 507 of the family's 1533-position model. The record is from RNAcentral.